AUUCUCAAUAAGACCUCUCUUAAUUGUUUCUGAUGCAUCUAAAGGCUUUUGACAUACGCUCAGCCUAAAAAGAGUAUUAUCUUUUUACGUAAACGUCCUCCAACUUUUACUUAAAAAAUUUAAAUAGCCGCAUUCUUAGAAAUAAGAUCUGGGCAUAUACAAAAUAGUGUUUUAAUUAUAUAAUUGAGUAGUUCGUAGAAUGUAAUUAUACGAUCGAAUAUAGGAGAGUCAACUUCUAAGGCUAUAACACUUAGUUUCGAUAGUGAACAGUAUUGUGAAUGAAGGGGUGAAAAUUUAUCAGCAUGAGAAGUGAAAAAUCUACUGAAACUUAAUGUGUAUACUGUUAGUGCAUCAGCUAUAACGUACCUUUUGCAUAAUGGGCUAGCGAGUUAAUAUGUAUAGCAAGCUUAAAUCUUUGUAGGCGUAGGUAAUUCGAACAAAGUUAUACUUAUUAGACCCGAAACUAAUCGAUCUAAUUAUGGACAGGCUGAGGGUAUACCUGAGGGCCGAACCCGUGACUGUUGCAUUAGUCUGGGAUGAUCUGUAAUUAGGGGUGAAAGGCCAUUCAAGAUUAGUGAUAGCUGGUUCUCCACGAAAAUUAUCUUAGUAACGAGUAUGUGAUUUUUUAGUUAAGGUAAAGUCAUCUUUAAGUACGGUGAUAGAAUAUUCGACCAUAUUUCGAGAAACUAAUAAUGUAACUAAAACAAUACAUAUAUUUAGACGUAUUCGCGCAAAGGUGAUACGUCAAGAGGGAAACAGCCCAGACCGGUUGAUAAGGCGCCUAAUAGUAGUUAAGUAAAAAGGUUUAGUUAUGGUAAAUUACUUAGGGGAUAGGCUUGGAAGCAGCCAUUCAUUAAAGAAAGAGUAAAAGCUCACUAAGUCAAUAUAACAUAACGAUAAUAUAUGUUAAGCCAUAACUUUUCCGAUAAUGUAUAGGCAUUAAAAUUACUAGCCGAAGCUCCGGAAAUAAUAUUUGGUAGUGGAGUUUUCUGUAAACCGUUGAAGAUUAAUUGCGAAAUUAGUUCGAGGUAUCAGUAUUAAUUAUGCUAGCGAUAGUAACGUAAAGUUGUGAUGAGUUAUCACGACCGCCGAAAAUUCUAGAGUUUCAUUAAAAGGGAUAACCUCAAUGGCUGAUGCGUCCUCUUAGAAAAAGACCAACGUCGUAAGUUCAAAGAGCGGACUUCUAAUUUGACCUUUUUACAGUUUUAUUUUGAAUAUUAGUUUAGUUCUCGUAAAGUUGUAUUUAGCUAGAAAAAUAUUAGUUGCUCUUAAGUUAAUUAAGAUGUGUUUUUCUCCGCAGAGCGUAUUAAAUCUGACACUAGUGAAUGGGUAGAAUAUACUAAGGCGAUAGAAUAAUGUAAUUGAAGGAACUCGGCAAAUUGACCCUGUAACAUCUGGAGAAGGGGGGCUUUAGUAAAUUAAAGCAUCUAAAAAGAGGGGAUGGCGACUGUUUAUCAAAAACACAGGACUUUGCUAAAUUUAAUAAUGAUGUAUAAAGUCUGACACCUGCCCGGUUCUUUUAAGUAAAAGAUUAUAAGUAUUGCUUAUUAGUCUAAGCUGAAGUAAACGGCGGCUGUAACUCUGACGGUCCGAAGGUAGCGAAAUUCAUCGGCGGGUAAGUUCCGUCCUGCAUGAAUGGUGUAACGACUGUCCCACUGUCUCCAAUUACAAUCUAGUGAAGCCGAAUACUAGGUGAAAAUGCCUAGAUAGAACAGCGGGACGGAAAGACCCCGUGCACCUUUACUAGAACCUUGUAUUACUUUAGUGUUUUAAUACACUACAGGAGAAGAAAUUCAACUACUGUGGCUAUUAAAAUCUUUAGAUUAGGACUAACCAUACGAUGAGAGUCUAAAAUUGCAAGGAUGCUAGUUUCACUGGGGCGGUGGCCUCCUAAAAAGUAACGGGGGUGUGCAAUGACUUUGUGAAGCAUAUGUGCUAUGCGAGUAUUAUAAUGAAUCAAACUUAGUCUGAUUUAGUAACCGAUAGGUUCCUAAAGGGUAAAUAUAUAUUUUUGCCUGCCAUAGUGACCCGAUAGUUUUUUUUGACAAAGCUAUCGAUUAACGGAUAAAAGGUACGCCGGGGAUAACAGGCUAAUGACUCCUAAGAGUUCCCAUCGACGGAGUUGAUUGGCACCUCGAUGUCGGCUCACCAUAUCCUGGUUGAGAAUAAUCUUCCAAGGGUCGGUCUGUUCUACCGUUAAAAUGGUACGUGAGCUGGGUUCAGAACGUCGUGAGACAGUUUGGUCCCUAUCUGCUGUUAAGUAGAAAAAAUGUAGAACCCUGCCUUAGUACGAGAGGACUGGGAUGGAGCAAUCACUGGUAGGAGAACUGUUAGAUACCUAGCAAGUUCUUAAGCUAAAUUGCGAUGAGAUAAUUACUGAAAUCCAUUUUAAGUAAGAAGCUCUUCUGCAGAAUUUUCAUAAAGACAAACUAAAGACUAUAGUUUUAAAAUAUUAUUUAAUUGACUAAGUUGAAAAACUUUUGAGACUAAAUAAAUAUAAUGUCUAUAUCUU
Molecule: ribosomal RNA, 2512 nt
Filed under: marine metagenome
Description: bacterial LSU rRNA
Rfam family: Bacterial large subunit ribosomal RNA
Source: RNAcentral